This 543-nucleotide ribosomal RNA is filed under the name uncultured archaeon. RNAcentral's name for it is "bacterial SSU rRNA". It matches the Rfam family "Bacterial small subunit ribosomal RNA", at positions 509 to 1050 of the family's 1533-position model. The record is from RNAcentral.
CAGCAGCCGCGGUAAUACGUAGGGUGCGAGCGUUGUCCGGAUUUAUUGGGCGUAAAGAGCUCGUAGGCGGUUUGUCGCGUCGGCCGUGAAAACCUACAGCUUAACUGUGGGCUUGCGGUCGAUACGGGCAGACUUGAGUUCGGCAGGGGAGACUGGAAUUCCUGGUGUAGCGGUGAAAUGCGCAGAUAUCAGGAGGAACACCGGUGGCGAAGGCGGGUCUCUGGGCCGAUACUGACGCUGAGGAGCGAAAGCGUGGGGAGCGAACAGGAUUAGAUACCCUGGUAGUCCACGCCGUAAACGGUGGGCGCUAGGUGUGGGGACUGGUUCCACGGUUUCCGUGCCGUAGCUAACGCAUUAAGCGCCCCGCCUGGGGAGUACGGCCGCAAGGCUAAAACUCAAAGGAAUUGACGGGGGCCCGCACAAGCGGCGGAGCAUGUGGAUUAAUUCGAUGCAACGCGAAGAACCUUACCUGGGUUUGACAUGCACUGGAUCGCCCUAGAGAUAGGGUUUCCCUUGUGGCUGGUGCACAGGUGGUGCAUGGCC